Molecule: long non-coding RNA, 432 nt
Filed under: Daucus carota (carrot)
Lineage: Eukaryota; Viridiplantae; Streptophyta; Magnoliopsida; Apiales; Apiaceae
Description: long non-coding RNA (DCAR_LNC002833)
Source: RNAcentral
UUCAUUUGUUCUUUCUUCAUCUAAAAGAGAGAACAUAGCAUUCAGGAAAGGCACAAUAUAUACGAAUGUAAAAGAUUAAAGUGUGCAUUGAUAAAAUAUUAAGGACCCUGCUAUAGUUUGGAAUAAAAAAGGAGGGACACAAAACCACAGGAGCUUGAUCUUAGUCAUCUUACCACAUAAAAUGUAGAAAUGGUAGCUAAAUCGUUUAAGAUGCAUUUUAAGAAAGAAUGCUAACAUAGAGUUGUUUGAUGUCCUUUUCCUACCCCUACAUUGAUGCGAAGAAGCAUAUGCCAGAAGCUGUGACUGCAGAAAGGUUAAUCUCCUAAAUCGAGCAGAAGAGUUAUAAAAAAUCUUAAAAGUGAGACACAAAUAGAUCCAUAUUUUGUGAGAACUGUGAGACUAGAAACCAAACCAAAUCCAUCUUCCUAAAUG